This 422-nucleotide ribosomal RNA is filed under the name uncultured bacterium. RNAcentral describes it as "partial 16S ribosomal RNA". It matches the Rfam family "Bacterial small subunit ribosomal RNA", at positions 360 to 774 of the family's 1533-position model. The record is from RNAcentral.
AAUCUUCCGCAUUGGAUGCAAGUCUGACGGAGCAUCGCCGCGUGAUUUCUGAAGGAAUUCUGUUCGUAAAACUCUGUUGUUAAGGAAGAACACUUGAGGCAGUAACUGGCCAUGAACUCACGGUACGUAACCAGAAAUUCUCGGCUAACUACGAGCUCGCAUCCGAGGUAAUACGUAGGUGGCAAACGUUAUCCGGAAUUAUUGGGCGUAAAGCGCGCGUAGGCGGUAAAAUAAGUCUGAUGUUAAAGCCCCCGGCUCAACCGGGGAGGGUCAUUGGAAACUGUUUUACUUGAGUACAGAAGAGGAGAGUGGAAUUCCAUGUGUAGCGGUGAAAUGCGCAGAGAUAUGGAGGAACACCAGUGGCGAAGGCGGCUCUCUGGUCUGUAACUGACGCUGAGGUGCGAAAGCGUGGGGAUCAAACA